AAUCAACGCUGGCGGCGUGCCUCAGACAUGCAAGUCGAACGAUUAAAGCUCUCUUCGGAGAGUGCAUAGAGUGGCGCACGGGUGAGUAACACGUAAGUAAUCUACCUUCGAGUGGGGAAUAACGUCCGGAAACGGACGCUAAUACCGCAUAAUGCAGCGGCAUCGUAAGAUGACAGUUGUUAAAGAUUUAUCGCUUGAAGAGGAGCUUGCGGCAGAUUAGCUAGUUGGUAAGGUAAUGGCUUACCAAGGCUACGAUCUGUAACCGGUCUUAGAGGACGGUCGGUCACACUGACACUGAAUAACGGGUCAGACUCCUACGGGAGGCAGCAGUCGGGAAUUUUGGGCAAUGGGCGAAAGCCUGACCCAGCAACGCCGCGUGAAGGAUGAAGUAUUUCGGUAUGUAAACUUCGAAAGAAUAGGAAGAAUAAAUGACGGUACUAUUUAUAAGGUCCGGCUAACUACGUGCCAGCAGCCGCGGUAAGUCUCGCGUGA
This 492-nucleotide ribosomal RNA is filed under the name uncultured bacterium. Its description in RNAcentral is "bacterial SSU rRNA". It matches the Rfam family "Bacterial small subunit ribosomal RNA", at positions 32 to 533 of the family's 1533-position model. The record is from RNAcentral.